Non-coding RNA from Chiloscyllium plagiosum (whitespotted bambooshark), 465 nucleotides. The record is from RefSeq and is a predicted model, not a curated record. NCBI's taxonomy places the organism in Eukaryota, Metazoa, Chordata, Chondrichthyes, Orectolobiformes, Hemiscylliidae.
UUUUCUGUUUUUGUCUCAUUUCAAACAUGCACCUGUUUGAUUCUAAGUUCCAAAUGCAGGUGGUAAAAUAUUCCAACAUUCAUCACCAAAUGACUGGCCUCGAUAUCCUUGACAAAUGGAACCACUAAGUCUUAUAGGAUCCCAAGAUGAGAAUCCUGGAUCUCACAAGGUCUGUUGUUACAACACUGGGUAAACCCUUCUGCUUAAUUUAAACCCAGCAACACAGAAGAGAAGAGAUUUAUCCCAUACAGCAAUCUGCAAAAAUCGAGUGGCCAAGGACUAUUUAAAAGUGAAGGGCUCCCCCCACUGACUUGGUAUCAGGUUCAGAGGCCUGGAUUCAAGACAACCUGCUCCAGAGAUGCAAACUAAUACCUUUGAACAGGUCGAUCAGAAAAUUUCUAACAUCUGGUAAGGGAAAGAACACACCACAAAAGAUACAUCCUUAUGGCCAGCUGAACUUGAAAA